This 450-nucleotide ribosomal RNA is filed under the name uncultured bacterium. Its description in RNAcentral is "bacterial SSU rRNA". It matches the Rfam family "Bacterial small subunit ribosomal RNA", at positions 28 to 464 of the family's 1533-position model. The record is from RNAcentral.
GAUGAACGCUGGCGGCGUGCCUAAUACAUGCAAGUCGAGCGCGGAGAUGAGGAGCUUGCUCCUCUGAUCCGAGCGGCGGACGGGUGAGUAACACGUAGGCAACCUACCCAUCAGACCGGGAUAACCGCGGGAAACCGUGGCUAAUACCGGAUGACCCUUCGAAACACAAGUUUUGAAGUUGAAAGGCGCUUUUGGUGCCGUUGAUGGAUGGGCCUGCGGCGCAUUAGCUAGUUGGUGAGAUAACGGCUCACCAAGGCGACGAUGCGUAGCCGACCUGAGAGGGUGAUCGGCCACACUGGGACUGAGACACGGCCCAGACUCCUACGGGAGGCAGCAGUAGGGAAUCUUCCGCAAUGGACGAAAGUCUGACGGAGCAACGCCGCGUGAGUGAAGAAGGGUUUCGGCUCGUAAAACUCUGUUGUUAAGGAAGAAUGGCACAUGGCGUAACUA